This 100-nucleotide small nuclear RNA is filed under the name Rattus norvegicus (Norway rat). The record is from RNAcentral. Lineage: Eukaryota; Metazoa; Chordata; Mammalia; Rodentia; Muridae.
GUGCUUAUUUUGAUAGCACAUAUGUGAAAAUUGGAAUGUCGCAGAAUACAUUAGCAGUGCCCCUGACCAAGAACGGCAUUUGUAAGCAUUCCAUUGUUUU